ACGGGAGGCAGCAGUGGGGAAUAUUGCACAAUGGGGGAAACCCUGAUGCAGCGACGCCGCGUGAGUGAAGAAGUUAUUCGUAAUGUAAAGCUCUAUCAGCAGGGAAGAAAAUGACGGUACCUGACUAAGAAGCCCCGGCUAACUACGUGCCAGCAGCCGCGGUAAUACGUAUGGUGCAAGCGUUAUCCGGAUUUACUGGGUGUAAAGGGAGCGUAGACGGCAUGGCAAGCCAGAUGUGAAAGGCAGGGGCUCAACUCCUGGACUGCAUUUGGAACUGUCAAGCUAGAGUACCGGAGAGGUAAGUGGAAUUCCUAGUGUAGCGGUGAAAUGCGUAGAUAUUAGGAGGAAUACCAGUGGCGAAGGCGGCUUGCUGGACGAUAACUGACGUUGAGGCUCGAAAGCGUGGGGAGCAAACAGGAUUAGAUACCCUGGUA
Molecule: ribosomal RNA, 434 nt
Filed under: uncultured Clostridium sp.
Lineage: Bacteria; Bacillati; Bacillota; Clostridia; Eubacteriales; Clostridiaceae
Description: partial 16S ribosomal RNA
Rfam family: Bacterial small subunit ribosomal RNA
Source: RNAcentral